RNAcentral lists this unclassified non-coding RNA (300 nucleotides) under Cladonia sp. Its description in RNAcentral is "partial contains small subunit ribosomal RNA and internal transcribed spacer 1". The stretch from base 1 to 46 matches the Rfam family "Eukaryotic small subunit ribosomal RNA", at positions 1786 to 1831 of the family's 1831-position model. Lineage: Eukaryota; Fungi; Ascomycota; Lecanoromycetes; Lecanorales; Cladoniaceae. The record is from RNAcentral.
AAGUCGUAACAAGGUUUCCGUAGGUGAACCUGCGGAAGGAUCAUUAAUGAGUUCGGGGGCCUAGCCCCCAGCGGUGGGUGUCUGUCCGAGUCCUCCCGGGCUCGGCCAGUGCUCAUCGUGCAUCUCAACCCCAUGUUUACCUUACCUUUGUUGCUUUGGCGGGCCUUGAGUAGGCUAUACGGCUCAUGCCGGCCCCCAGCGUUUUCUGCUGGGGGGCGGCUUGCGCCCGCCAGAGGUUUAUCCAAAUUCUAUUUAUUAGCGAAGUCUGAGUAAAUAUUAAAUAAUCAAAACUUUCAACAA